UCGUGCCCCCGUAUGCAUUUGAUUUGGAGAAGCAAGCACAAAGCAAAAACUGACCUUUGAAUGUUCGGUCUUUUAAACACUGAGAAAUUACUGCUGGUAGUUAAGUACGAUUUCAACUGACCCCCAAAUGAGAAAGAAUUCCUAAUACGCCCGACGGCGGCUAAGAAAAAUGAGAUGUUCCCAUUCAUCCCUAAGCCCAUCGCUUAGCUUCUUAAUAAUUAAGAACUCUGCUCUCCGCCACGGAACUAUCCCUUGCAGGGAGGCUGAAGCAAGAAGAAAUCGCCAUUGCCCAUUCUUCCCUUUUGAUUCACCCUAUCUCCAGUCGCCCUCCAGCCCAGAUGUGAGACAAUCCACAGUGCCCAUUAAAGAUCUGAUAACCCUGAAACUAAGCCCCGUGGCAAUGAAGCCCAGCCAGGCGUAAACUUGAUGACUUGACUUGAUGACUGAGGCGUAAACUCAAGAAUGGAAGAGGAAAGGAAGAGAAGAAAAAAGAAAAGCCAAUGACCUCACCUUAUGGGAACUGCUGCUAUACUUAGUUUAUACCCACUAUGAGCCCUUCAUCUUACCGUCCUGAUGCGCUCAGGAUUAUUUCAUGUAGGUCGCUCUUAUCUCUAAUCAGAUGGUAAGUUCCAUGAGGGUAACCUCAUUAUUUCAUUCUCUCAUUUCCUCUCCCCGUGAUGCCCAGCACAGUGCUGAACACGUUGGAA
This is a long non-coding RNA of Neofelis nebulosa (Clouded leopard), 707 nucleotides long. RefSeq lists it as uncharacterized. NCBI's taxonomy places the organism in Eukaryota, Metazoa, Chordata, Mammalia, Carnivora, Felidae. The record is from RefSeq and is a predicted model, not a curated record. The transcript has 3 exons.